RNAcentral lists this ribosomal RNA (489 nucleotides) under uncultured bacterium. Its description in RNAcentral is "partial 16S ribosomal RNA". It matches the Rfam family "Bacterial small subunit ribosomal RNA", at positions 30 to 506 of the family's 1533-position model. The record is from RNAcentral.
AUUGAACGCUGGCGGCAGGCUUAACACAUGCAAGUCGAGCGGUAACAGAGAGAAGCUUGCUUCUCUGCUGACGAGCGGCGGACGGGUGAGUAAUGCCUAGGAAUCUGCCUAGUAGUGGGGGAUAACUUGCCGAAAGGUAAGCUAAUACCGCAUACGUCCUACGGGAGAAAGGAGGGGACCUUCGGGCCUUUCGCUAUUAGAUGAGCCUAGGUCGGAUUAGUUAGUUGGUGAGGUAAUGGCUCACCAAGACCGCGAUCCGUAACUGGUCUGAGAGGAUGAUCAGUCACACUGGAACUGAGACACGGUCCAGACUCCUACGGGAGGCAGCAGUGGGGAAUAUUGGACAAUGGGGGGAACCCUGAUCCAGCCAUGCCGCGUGUGUGAAGAAGGUCUUAGGAUUGUAAAGCACUUUAAGUUGGGAGGAAGAGCAGUUAACUAAUAUUUGACUGUUUUGACGUUACCGACAGAAUAAGCACCGGCUAACUUCGU